UCGAAGGCAGAAGACGAAUAGAUGUGCCGGAGAUGAAAUUAGCUUGUUUAAGAAUCAAAAACGUGCCUCGUCUUUCUGUAUGGAUAAUAACGAGGACAGAUAUCUACGUAUCGGAACGAACAUCUCUGCAGUCAGCUGAAUUUAAUUAAGUUAUUUGGUGCCACGGCUGUCUGAAAAUCAGUCCUCUUUUGUGGAACGAACUGGAUAACUCCUGCUCCCUCAAAGGUCAGCACUGUCAAACGUUUGGUGUCGCCAGCAGAGUUUGCUGGAUGGGGGAGGAAGUGAUCUACAGCAGGACUUUACUCAGGGUCAUUUUGUUUGUCUUACAGAACUGAAACAGCGCCGCCAGAUCUUUGGCUCCAGAAGUUUCACUUUCCACUUGGAUGAUGAGAGAUUAAGAUUGUUUUCUCUUGAAUCAAAUGAAAUGUGUGAACUUAAAAGACAGAACAGAAGCGACUGUACCUUCCUGGAUUUCUUGGGUUCGUAGU
Long non-coding RNA from Scatophagus argus, 488 nucleotides. RefSeq lists it as uncharacterized. Lineage: Eukaryota; Metazoa; Chordata; Actinopteri; Scatophagidae. The transcript has 3 exons. The record is from RefSeq and is a predicted model, not a curated record.